GAGUUUGAUCAUGGCUCAGAACGAACGCUGGCGGCGUGGAUAAGACAUGCAAGUCGAACGAAACUACUUGCGUAGCAAUAUGCGAGUGAUUUAGUGGCGAAAGGGUGCGUAACACGUGAGGAAUCUGCCGAUAAGUGGGGAAUAGCUCGCCGAAAGGCGAAUUAAUACCGCGUGCAAUUUAGACGUAAUCGCGUCUAAAUUAAAGCAGAAGCAAUUCUGCGCUUAUUGAUGACCUCGCGGCCUAUCAGCUAGUUGGCGGGGUAAUAGCCCACCAAGGCAAUGACGGGUAGCUGGUCUGAGAGGACGACCAGCCACACUGGAACUGAGACACGGUCCCAGACACCUACGGGUGGCAGCAGUCGAGAAUUUUUCUCAAUGGGCGAAAGCCUGAAGGAGCGACGCCGCGUGGAGGAUGAAGGUCUUCGGAUUGUAAACUCCUGUCAUCGGCGAACAAAGCCGGUUUUUAAUCGGUCUGAUAGUAGUCGAAG
RNAcentral lists this ribosomal RNA (488 nucleotides) under uncultured Opitutia bacterium. RNAcentral describes it as "bacterial SSU rRNA". It matches the Rfam family "Bacterial small subunit ribosomal RNA", at positions 9 to 484 of the family's 1533-position model. The record is from RNAcentral. Lineage: Bacteria; Pseudomonadati; Verrucomicrobiota; Opitutia.